This 872-nucleotide ribosomal RNA is filed under the name uncultured bacterium. RNAcentral describes it as "bacterial SSU rRNA". It matches the Rfam family "Bacterial small subunit ribosomal RNA", at positions 46 to 916 of the family's 1533-position model. The record is from RNAcentral.
GCUUACCAUGCAGUCGAGCGGGGGAAGGUAGCUUGCUACUGGACCUAGCGGCGGACGGGUGAGUAAUGCUUAGGAAUCUGCCUAUUAGUGGGGGACAACAUCUCGAAAGGGAUGCUAAUACCGCAUACGUCCUACGGGAGAAAGCAGGGGAUCUUCGGACCUUGCGCUAAUAGAUGAGCCUAAGUCGGAUUAGCUAGUUGGUGGGGUAAAGGCCUACCAAGGCGACGAUCUGUAGCGGGUCUGAGAGGAUGAUCCGCCACACUGGGACUGAGACACGGCCCAGACUCCUACGGGAGGCAGCAGUGGGGAAUAUUGGACAAUGGGGGGAACCCUGAUCCAGCCAUGCCGCGUGUGUGAAGAAGGCCUUAUGGUUGUAAAGCACUUUAAGCGAGGAGGAGGCUACUUUAGUUAAUACCUAGAGAUAGUGGACGUUACUCGCAGAAUAAGCACCGGCUAACUCUGUGCCAGCAGCCGCGGUAAUACAGAGGGUGCGAGCGUUAAUCGGAUUUACUGGGCGUAAAGCGUGCGUAGGCGGCUUAUUAAGUCGGAUGUGAAAUCCCCGAGCUUAACUUGGGAAUUGCAUUCGAUACUGGUGAGCUAGAGUAUGGGAGAGGAUGGUAGAAUUCCAGGUGUAGCGGUGAAAUGCGUAGAGAUCUGGAGGAAUACCGAUGGCGAAGCAGCCAUCUGGCCUAAUACUGACGCUGAGGUACGAAAGCAUGGGGAGCAAACAGGAUUAGAUACCCUGGUAGUCCAUGCCGUAAACGAUGUCUACUAGCCGUUGGGGCCUUUGAGGCUUUAGUGGCGCAGCUAACGCGAUAAGUAGACCGCCUGGGGAGUACGGUCGCAAGACUAAAACUCAAAGGAAUUGACGG